AGUGAACGCUGGCGGUAGGCCUAACACAUGCAAGUCGAACGGCAGCACAGUAAGAGCUUGCUCUUACGGGUGGCGAGUGGCGGACGGGUGAGGAAUACAUCGGAAUCUACUUUUUCGUGGGGGAUAACGUAGGGAAACUUACGCUAAUACCGCAUACGACCUACGGGUGAAAGCAGGGGAUCUUCGGACCUUGCGCGAUUGAAUGAGCCGAUGUCGGAUUAGCUAGUUGGCGGGGUAAAGGCCCACCAAGGCGACGAUCCGUAGCUGGUCUGAGAGGAUGAUCAGCCACACUGGAACUGAGACGCGGUCCAGACUCCUACGGGAGGCAGCAGUGGGGAAUAUUGGACAAUGGGCGCAAGCCUGAUCCCGCCAUACCGCGUGGGUGAAGAAGGCCUUCGGGUUGUAAAGCCCUUUUGUUGGGAAAGAAAAGCAGCAGGUUAAUACCCCGCUGUUCUGACGGUACCCAAAGAAUAAGCACCGGCUAACUUCGUG
This 492-nucleotide ribosomal RNA is filed under the name uncultured bacterium. RNAcentral's name for it is "partial 16S ribosomal RNA". It matches the Rfam family "Bacterial small subunit ribosomal RNA", at positions 29 to 507 of the family's 1533-position model. The record is from RNAcentral.